Molecule: transfer RNA, 160 nt
Filed under: Hyalangium minutum
Lineage: Bacteria; Pseudomonadati; Myxococcota; Myxococcia; Myxococcales; Archangiaceae
Rfam family: tRNA
About the family: Transfer RNA (tRNA) molecules are approximately 80 nucleotides in length. Their secondary structure includes four short double-helical elements and three loops (D, anti-codon, and T loops).
Source: Rfam by way of RNAcentral
CGGGAUAGCCUAAUGGACAGGCACUCGACUUCGACUCGAGACGUCAACGGCUUCCCCACUCGGGCGUUUCAAUUUUUCUCUGACGAAUUCGCGUCCGGCCGAAGAGGCCAUACAAGCACUUGGGAACCUGAAGCCGCCGGUUCGAAUCCGGCUCUCCCGA